Long non-coding RNA from Oreochromis aureus, 234 nucleotides. RefSeq lists it as uncharacterized. Lineage: Eukaryota; Metazoa; Chordata; Actinopteri; Cichliformes; Cichlidae. The record is from RefSeq and is a predicted model, not a curated record. The transcript has 3 exons.
GAAGCCGCAGAGUUCCCGCUUCAUUGCGUUCGUGUUUUAGUUUAUUUUUCUUCCUCAUCUAAAGUGAAGCACUAAGCUGAUAAGCAGGAGGAGAAGAGUCUGACGGAGCAGCAGAGGAACAUUUAAGCUACUUGGACUCAGCUCAGCCACUGCAGAGAAAUCAAUGAGUUCGACACAGAAGGACCAACAUGGACCGAGAAGUCAGCGCUCUCAGGAGGCCGACAAACCUCACAG